Molecule: long non-coding RNA, 665 nt
Organism: Pogoniulus pusillus (Red-fronted tinkerbird)
Lineage: Eukaryota; Metazoa; Chordata; Aves; Piciformes; Lybiidae
Exons: 4
Source: RefSeq, a predicted model, not a curated record
CCGUUAUCUAAACGCACUGGGCUCUACAGCCGCAGAGCAGCCAGAAGAUAACCAGCCGCGUCGGAUGCUACUUAGAAAGCAUUUUGUUCCCGAUUAAAGCCCAAACAUGAGCUAAGAGCCAUCGAAGGAAAGUGCAGAGCACUUGAUUUCCCCUCCUUUGCUAACACACUCAGAGAAAGAGGGGCAAAAUGUACCUGAAGCUACAGGGAACUUCUUCUCCAUGCUCUCACAUGGUUUCACCAUGAGGUCAACCAGUUAGCCAUGAGUCCAGCUGCUCAGGAAUGAGAGGGGCCUCUAGCCAUCCACACCGCCCGAGGUGCGCUGCCUCAUGUUGGAAGGAAAGCUGGAGACCAGCAUCUGAAGGAACACAGAAUGCCUUUCAGCAUGCAGCCAGCUGCCAAAACUAUGGGAAAGGACCUUCUCAAGAGGAGUAGCAUGUUGAUCUUAGCUCGAGUAGCUCUUCUGAGGUGGAAUUGGUAAGGGACCAGUCUUUGGAGCAACUCAGCAGCAGAUUUGAGGCAACAUUUUUCACCUCUGCUGAGAUAGCUGGGAACUUCCAAUUCUAUUCUACCUGUUCUUCCAGGAACGUGGUGAGGCAAGUGGAAACUUAUCUCCACUUGGGAGAAGAGGGUGGGGGGCAUUGCAUGAGUAUUAAAACAUAAAGU